UGACUGAAGGGAGACUUGGACUUGGGAACCAACCCCUUCACCUUUCCCACGUACGCUCAUCUAAGGCAGCUCUGUGAAAUUCCAAAAAUCUAAGAGUGGAAGUUUAGAAAGUAAGCUGCAAGUGGAUAUCACCGAAUGAAAAGUAAAUUCCAUUACAUUCUUUUUCAAAAUGAAUUUGCACUCUUGGAUAGUAGGAUAGGGUGAAUAUUUAUAUGAAAUGUGUUAAUCAAGCUUUGAAUACUAUUGAUUUUGUUGCAUUCCUUUUAUAGGAAUAAGCUAAAUUCGCCCCAGAACCAGAACACAUAAACCAUCAGGAUUUAAUUUAAAUCAGUGAAUACUAGGCCCCAGCCUGCAUCCAGUGGACCAGUGAGGACCAGUUAGCCACCCAGUGAGCCCGCCCUCAUUCCUGGAUCCACUCUGCACAGGCACAGGUGGUCAUAAAGCUCAUUUUACUGAGCUCCAGAAGAGAGAACAGAAGUGAACAACUGCAAUAAAGGCACAUCAGAUCUCCAUAGUUGGGAGCGUGUCGCUGCUUUCUCACUAAGUCAAAAUUUGCAAGAUGAAAAGCAAGAAGUGCGUACUGACAAAGAGAUACCACUUAUAUUCCCAGCAUGCUCUGGAUCACUUUCUGACAUCCUUUUGAUCACAACAAACUUGUACUAAUGUAAUGGAGGUUAGAAUGGGAGACUUGGGUAUCUUGAUAAGGUGUUUCUCAGUGAAUUCUAUUCACUUAUAACUGGACACAUAAACUUAACAACAAUCCAUGUUUUCUAAAUGGUUAAGCAAAAAUGAAAAUUGACAAUAAACUAAGGACUGUUUUUCCUGUAAAGGUCAGAUACUUCUAAAGAAAAAUAUGGUAUGAUAGGAUUUAAUGUAUUCAGUACUAAUACCUGUCAUUCGGAGAAGA
RNAcentral lists this long non-coding RNA (907 nucleotides) under Fukomys damarensis (Damara mole-rat). RNAcentral describes it as "lncRNA (ENSFDAG00000023110.1)". Lineage: Eukaryota; Metazoa; Chordata; Mammalia; Rodentia; Bathyergidae. The record is from RNAcentral.